GCGUUCUCGGGCGUCACCCGUGUACAGACGACAGUGCAUAGCUAGGUCAAGGUGUAUCGGGGCUAACCCACGAUCUGACUUAUUAGAGAUCUGUACAGUAACAAAACGAUCUCGUAUAGGACGUCGGGACACGGAAAACAAUGUCUGACGAGUUUACAGAAAGUUGGAUUAAGCACAGAUAUGAUGUUUGAACACGAGUUUCACCGCGUUUGAAAAGACGUUACUGUCCGUACAUGACGUCAACCAAUUGACGUCCGAUGAUUUCAUUGAUGUGUUUGGUAACGUGGUGGAACACUGUUCACUGUGUGCGGCCGCUGUGUGGCAGCACCGUCCGUUCACGGACGUACAUCACAUACACAAGCUCGUGUGUGACUUCCUAGAUAAUAUUCCUUAUGAUGGUAAACAAGGGGUCCUCCGCUUGCAUCCAGAUCUUGCCGGGAAGGUCGCAGGCCUAGGAGGCCUAACGGUGGAAUCACAGAACGAGCAGAAGGCUGCUGGGAUUGAUAGUCUAACUCCGGCUGAAAAAGAAACCAUCCGAGAGAGAAACAAAAGCUACAGGAACAAAUUUGGUUUCCCGUUUGUCAUAUGUGCUCGUAAAAACAAAAAGGAGGCCAUUUUGGGUGGUCUGAAGCUUCGGUUGCAGAAUGAUAUUACAGAAGAAGUGCUGAACGGGGUGGAACAAGUAAAACUGAUUGCGUUGUUGAGGCUGUUGAGCAUUGUGGAGGAAUGAGUUUGUUACGGUCAUUGUUGAACAUUGAUAACAUUACGGAAACAAUUACCAUUAAUAUAGAAGUCAAACGUAGGAUGUAUGGUUACGACAAAAUUGUUCCAUAGUUAGAGUUUACCAAUUAAAAAGCCAGCUUACUAACAACUGAUCGUGACCUAAAUGUAUGUUGUCGAUGAUAUAUUUUAACAAGGGUCUUAUAACAGGAGGUCGGAUAACACAAAAGUAACACGCUUACCUAUAUGGCCGGGGUUAGAUUUCCCGAUCAAUAUGGACAAGUAUUGGUCAUCUAUCUCAUCGCUUGGGUUGUCUCCGGGUACCUGAUUUCUUCCCAAUGAAAGGACCCUCAUGUGCUUACAGCCGGGCCAAUCAGGGUGAUCAAUAUACGUUGAUGUAACUUGUUCCGCAAUUGAAUAAAGUUUACAGUUAUAAAAGUAAACUAUAUUGUUUGGCGAGACUUCCUGUCAAUAUUAAAUUCAAAUUCCUAAAGAU
RNA transcript from Pecten maximus, 1216 nucleotides. It is a transcript of the gene named 2-oxo-4-hydroxy-4-carboxy-5-ureidoimidazoline decarboxylase-like, with no coding region annotated. The record is from RefSeq and is a predicted model, not a curated record. The transcript is spliced from 4 exons. Lineage: Eukaryota; Metazoa; Mollusca; Bivalvia; Pectinida; Pectinidae.